Molecule: long non-coding RNA, 361 nt
Filed under: Manihot esculenta (cassava)
Lineage: Eukaryota; Viridiplantae; Streptophyta; Magnoliopsida; Malpighiales; Euphorbiaceae
Description: long non-coding RNA (MESC_LNC008280)
Source: RNAcentral
UUCUCUUUACCAUCACAACGAGUGAUAUAAUAAUGUUAGUUGAAGUAAAAAUCAGAUUUCACAGCGGAGAAUCCAAUUUCUUUUGGGCUUUCCCAAUAGAGAAGGAUAAUAGUAGUAAAAUCAGAUUUCACAACAAGGGAAAAUAAAAUAAUCGAAUUUUCAAUUUCAUGGCCAUAGCGUAUCCAACAAAACGGGAACUCGCAUAAGAAAACAACGAGACAUAUGAACCGCAAAAUCCUGACACAGUGCAUGAAACUCAUGCAUGGAGGCGAUGUCCAUGUUUUUCCACACGCACUUACAAGAAUCAGCAGCAACUUCACACAAAUCAACGCCAAUACUGUUUUACUGUUUUAAAUUGAAU